Molecule: ribosomal RNA, 460 nt
Filed under: uncultured bacterium
Lineage: Bacteria
Description: partial 16S ribosomal RNA
Rfam family: Bacterial small subunit ribosomal RNA
Source: RNAcentral
CCUACGGUUGGCAGCAGUGAGGAAUAUUGGUCAAUGGACGCGAGUCUGAACCAGCCAAGCCGCGUGAAGGAUGACUGCCCUAUGGGUUGUAAACUUCUUUUAUAUGGGAAUAAAAUGUUCCACGUGUGGGAUUUUGUAUGUACCAUAUGAAUAAGGAUCGGCUAACUCCGUGCCAGCAGCCGCGGUAAUACGGAGGAUCCGAGCGUUAUCCGGAUUUAUUGGGUUUAAAGGGAGCGUAGGUGGAUUGUUAAGUCAGUUGUGAAAGUUUGCGGCUCAACCGUAACAUUGCAGUUGAAACUGGCAGUCUUGAGUACAGUAGAGGUGGGCGGAAUUCGUGGUGUAGCGGUGAAAUGCUUAGAUAUCACGAAGAACUCCGAGUGCGAAGGCAGCUUACUAAGCUGCCACUGACGUUGAGGCUCGAAAGUGUGGGUAGCAAACAGGAUUAGAUACCCUUGUAGUC